This 435-nucleotide ribosomal RNA is filed under the name uncultured bacterium. RNAcentral describes it as "bacterial SSU rRNA". It matches the Rfam family "Bacterial small subunit ribosomal RNA", at positions 37 to 514 of the family's 1533-position model. The record is from RNAcentral.
CAGUGGGGGCGGGCUUACACAUGCAAGUCGAGCGCUCGUAGCAAUACGAGAGCGGCAGACGGGAGAGUAACACGUGGGAACGUACCCUUCGGUUCGGAAUAACCCAGGGAAACUUGGGCUAAUACCGAAUACGUCCGUAAGGAGAAAGAUUUAUCGCCGAGGGAUCGGCCCGCGUCCGAUUAGCUAGUUGGUGAGGUAAUGGCUCACCAAGGCGACGAUCGGUAGCUGGUCUGAGAGGAUGAUCAGCCUCACUGGGACUGAGACACGGCCCAGACUCCUACGGGAGGCAGCAGUGGGGAAUAUUGGACAAUGGGCGCAAGCCUGAUCCAGCCAUGCCGCGUGGGUGAUGAAGGCCUUAGGGUUGUAAAGCCCUCUCGGCGGGGAAGAUAAUGACGGUACCCGCAGAAGAAGCCCCGGCUAACUUCGUGCCAGCAG